Molecule: long non-coding RNA, 694 nt
Organism: Vidua chalybeata
Lineage: Eukaryota; Metazoa; Chordata; Aves; Passeriformes; Viduidae
Exons: 3
Source: RefSeq, a predicted model, not a curated record
CAUGAACACAGAUACGGAAUUUCUGAUGGCUGGUGAAGUGCAUUUCCACGGAGUUUGGAGCUGUGUACACAUAUUCAGGUUGUCUGCCAGAGGUUCUUGCAAACCAGAUGUACGCAGUUAAUCCCACAGAAAUCAAUGAAAUUGCAUGCGGAAGUGUGAGACUAAAAGGUAUUUCUCAAGAAGGUGAAAGAAACCUAGUAAUGAGAGAUGGAAAGGUGAUGUGGUUUUGCUCAUCAAGCUGAAUGCCCGAUGGAAAAUGUUUCGGGUUUGCUGAGUAAGGUGUGUGAAUUAGAUCCUGUGGAAGCUUCGCAGCUGCAAUAAGCAUAAACAGUGAAUGCUUAGUGAAAUGAUAUGACAAGUACUUAGCAGGGAAUCUCUGGUCUGAUUUAUGUUCCUAGAAGUAAUUUUUUCGUAUCUCAAAAAAGCAGCAAGUUAGUAGUUAAUAGAGAAUCUGCACAUAGAUCAUUUGCAUGAAGGGAAAAUUGUGAAGUGCUUCAAUCAAUGCAACAUCUCACUGGUAUUGAUGAGGAGUACCAGCAGUCAGAUGAAAGGCAGUCUGUUGAAAUCAUUAGGUACUGGUUUCUUAUCCCAGCAGGAUUUCCAGCUCUGACUUGAUGGUCUCUUUAGGUCAUGCUGGUUUUAUCCUGGCUAGUCCUUGAGGAGAACAAUUUUUUUUUCUGUCUGGUACAGUUCA